This 441-nucleotide ribosomal RNA is filed under the name uncultured bacterium. Its description in RNAcentral is "SSU rRNA". It matches the Rfam family "Bacterial small subunit ribosomal RNA", at positions 26 to 518 of the family's 1533-position model. The record is from RNAcentral.
AGAACGAACGCUGGCGGCAGGCUUAACACAUGCAAGUCGAGCGCCCCGCAAGGGGAGCGGCAGACGGGUGAGUAACGCGUGGGAACAUACCCUCCGGUUCGGAAUAGCUCAGGGAAACUUGGAUUAAUACCGGAUACGGCCUAGCGGCGAAAGAUUCAUCGCCGGAGGAUUGGCCCGCGUCUGAUUAGCUAGUUGGUGGGGUAAUGGCCCACCAAGGCGACGAUCAGUAGCUGGUCUGAGAGGAUGAUCAGCCACAUUGGGACUGAGACACGGCCCAAACUCCUACGGGAGGCAGCAGUGGGGAAUAUUGGACAAUGGGCGCAAGCCUGAUCCAGCCAUGCCGCGUGAGUGAUGACGGCCUUAGGGUUGUAAAGCUCUUUCGCUAGGGACGAUAAUGACGGUACUAGACAGAAGCCCGGCUAACUUCGCGCCAGCAGCCGC